AAAGCUCCCUUCGGGGAGCAAGUAGAGUGGCGCACGGGUGAGUAACACGUAGGUAAUCUACCUUUGGAUGGGGAAUAACAACCGGAAACGGUUGCUAAUACCGCAUAAUGCAGCGGCACCUAAUGGUGACAGUUGUUAAAGCGGGGGAUCGCAAGACCUCGCGUCUGAAGAGGAGCCUGCGGCAGAUUAGCUAGUUGGUAAGGUAACGGCUUACCAAGGCGAUGAUCUGUAGCCGGCCUGAGAGGGCGGUCGGCCACACUGACACUGACAUACGGGUCAGACUCCUACGGGAGGCAGCAGUCGGGAAUUUUGGGCAAUGGGCGAAAGCCUGACCCAGCAACGCCGCGUGAAGGAUGAAAUCCUUCGGGAUGUAAACUUCGCAAGAACGGGAAGAAUAAGUAAGAGUUAAUAUCUCUUACGAUGACGGUACUGUUUGUAAGCUCCGGCUAACUCCGUGCCAGCAGCCGCGGUAAUACGGGGGGAGCAAGCGUUGUUCGGAUUUACUGGGCGUAAAGGGCGCGUAGGCGGCCUCUGCAAGUCGACUGUGAAAUCUCCGGGCUUAACCCGGAACGGUCAGCCGAUACUGCAGGGCUAGAGUGCAGAAGGGGCAACCGGAAUUCUCGGUGUAGCGGUGAAAUGCGUAGAUAUCGAGAGGAACACCUGCGGCGAAGGCGGGUUGCUGGGCUGACACUGACGCUGAGGCGCGAAAGCUAGGGGAGCGAACGGGAUUAGAUACCCCGGUAGUCCUAGCCUUAAACGAUGAAUGCUUGGUGUCUGGGGUUUUAUAGUCCCCGGGUGCCGUCGCUAACGCUUUAAGCAUUCCGCCUGGGGAGUACGGUCGCAAGACUGAAACUC
RNAcentral lists this ribosomal RNA (855 nucleotides) under uncultured Bacillota bacterium. RNAcentral describes it as "bacterial SSU rRNA". It matches the Rfam family "Bacterial small subunit ribosomal RNA", at positions 70 to 902 of the family's 1533-position model. The record is from RNAcentral. Lineage: Bacteria; Bacillati; Bacillota.